AAGUAAUUAAUAGUUCCCAAUUUCCAUGCGAUGAAUGUUGAAUUCGACAAUUCAUCCUCGACAUCACCGCCAUCCCACAAUUUACACUAGAGUUCUCUCCUCGCUCUGCUUGAUAGUUGAAACUUGAAAUUUCCAGAAGUCGAAAAGCGUCGCUCCAUACCCCAUUGAGCUGCAUCCUCUAUUCACAGCUUGAGAAACCUAAAUGGAAGAUGAAAUUGCCUUUUCCCACUAUUCUGUGUUGCUAUUAAGGUUACUUUACUCUACUUUCUUUGUACUUUGAACCUUUGGCGUUUUGAUUUGUUCUCUAUGUGGUUUGAGAAUUUUUGUCUAACUAGUAUUUGGGAUCAUAUAUCUUUUCAAUGAAUUUCACAAAAUAGGGAAGGGAGACUGCACAAACUAAUUUUUUUUCAAAGUAAGCAGAAAAGAAGAUUCAACUAAUGCAUGCUUUUAUUUAUGAAAAUGGAGUUCAAGAACAUGCUUGUACACGAAAUAAGGAAGUGAAAGGGGCCAUGGGGGUUGGGGGAAGGUAACUGUUCUAAAUAGUUCUUUUUAUCUAAAAAUUUUACUAAUACAUACACCAUAUACAACAGAAACCAUUGGUUCUACUCCAAGGAAGAAUGAGACACCAUAUAUGCAGCUGGAGCCAUAUCUAGAAGGAUGCCAUGAUAGAACAAUCCACUAGAAGAUGUUGCAGCGAGAAAUCCAACUGUACCAGCUGGGCGAGCAAUACGUAAUGAUAUCGGAGUUCGUAAAAUUAUAGGCUUGCGCUGCACGGUAAUUCUAGUGAAACCAGUGAUAGAGUAAGAUUUACCAUCAUUUUCAUAAAAUCCAAUC
Molecule: long non-coding RNA, 834 nt
Filed under: Nicotiana benthamiana
Lineage: Eukaryota; Viridiplantae; Streptophyta; Magnoliopsida; Solanales; Solanaceae
Description: long non-coding RNA (NBEN_LNC006960)
Source: RNAcentral